This is a long non-coding RNA of Symphalangus syndactylus (siamang), 1411 nucleotides long. RefSeq lists it as uncharacterized. The record is from RefSeq and is a predicted model, not a curated record. Lineage: Eukaryota; Metazoa; Chordata; Mammalia; Primates; Hylobatidae.
AGUAGUUAUCAGGGACUGGAGAGAGGGAAGAAUGAGACGUGACUACUUCAUGGAUACAAGGUUUUCUCUGGGGGUGAUGAAAAUAUUUUGACAUCUGAUAAAGGUGGUGGUAGCACAGCAUUGUGAAUGUACUAAUUGCCACUGAAUUGUGCAUUUUAAAGUGAUUGAUUUUAUGUGGAGCAAAUUUUACUUUAAUUAUAAAAAGUGAAUAAACUUUUAGAAGCUAACCUUGGGAGAAGGUAGAGACUGGAAGGGGUCACAAGAAAGGCUUCUGGGAUGUUGACCAUGUAGCAUAACUUUCUGACAUUGUCAUGCCAUUUGUAAACUGUCAAAGUGAUGGUUGGGAGUGUAGCAGUGAGGACAACCAGAGGUUACUCUCAUCACCAUCUUGGUUUGGGUUGAUUUCUCUAAGAAGUACAUGCUGAAAUGAAGUUAAGAGUACAAAAUAUUUAUUGGAGCAUAGUAACACAGAGGAGACACAGGAUUUGGCAGAAAUACUAAACCGUGGUGAAGACCUGCUGAAGUCUGUUUGUCCAAAGGGGAGCUGUAAAGUAAAUAUGAGCCACGAAGGGAGCCCCACACUGGAUGGAAACGGCCAAGCCCUUUUACAACCACCUUCUCCUUCAGACACUGCCUGCAAUUCACCCUGGGAAAGCAAAACCUCAACUGUUUCUGCCUCAUUCAGUCUUCGUCAGUGCCCUAAGAAGAUUGAGAUUUGAGCUUGUAACUGUUGAAGCAAAACCUAAAGCGGUUAAUAAUAGGAGUUUGUCACAACUAUCUUAACACAAAUAUAAAAUAUUUGCAUGAACUGUAAUAAUCUUUUAUUUAUAAAUUAAAAAUUUAUCGAUAAAAUACAGAUUUCAAUAACAUUAGUAAAAAAUCUUUUCACUUCUCUUAAGUAAUUCAGAAUAGAUCAUUUUUCAUUUCAGUUCCUACACUUGAUCCUUAGAAGAAAAAAAACCUAUUUUUUUAAUAUAAUGCAAACACUUUAGUUUAACAUAAACAAGAUGAAAGGAAGACUGGCUGAGAAAAAAAAACUCUAAAAACUAUCUAGCAUAUUCAGAAGAUAAUUCAUGCCUUUAAGAUCAUUUAAGUAGUAUGUCGCCUUUAGUUAUAAAGAGAAAUGUGGAACUAUUUUUACAAUUAAUUACAUUUGUCAGCAGGAAAUAAAAUGUAUUCAAAAUUGACCUGUAUGUGAGUGAUGGUUGUAACAGAGUUAUUGAUUUUUCCUGUUGGGAAAUGCCCUCCAAAACUGGCAUCAUCUUUUCAAGUAAACUCAAAAUCCGGACAAUGUCUUCAAAGGUAGGCAUGCUGUUAACAAUGGUUCCUGCUGUUUUCUAUGACUGGGCAGUAAUAUCCUCUAUAAUAUUAGCCCCUGGAAAUUAAAAUGUCCUUUAUUGAAAACAUAGAA